Molecule: non-coding RNA, 27 nt
Filed under: Mus musculus (house mouse)
Lineage: Eukaryota; Metazoa; Chordata; Mammalia; Rodentia; Muridae
Source: RNAcentral
UGAGUCUUCACUGUUGCCAAGUGAUCU